This 2901-nucleotide ribosomal RNA is filed under the name Escherichia coli. Its description in RNAcentral is "23S ribosomal RNA". It matches the Rfam family "Bacterial large subunit ribosomal RNA". The record is from RNAcentral. Lineage: Bacteria; Pseudomonadati; Pseudomonadota; Gammaproteobacteria; Enterobacterales; Enterobacteriaceae.
GGUUAAGCGACUAAGCGUACACGGUGGAUGCCCUGGCAGUCAGAGGCGAUGAAGGACGUGCUAAUCUGCGAUAAGCGUCGGUAAGGUGAUAUGAACCGUUAUAACCGGCGAUUUCCGAAUGGGGAAACCCAGUGUGAUUCGUCACACUAUCAUUAACUGAAUCCAUAGGUUAAUGAGGCGAACCGGGGGAACUGAAACAUCUAAGUACCCCGAGGAAAAGAAAUCAACCGAGAUUCCCCCAGUAGCGGCGAGCGAACGGGGAGCAGCCCAGAGCCUGAAUCAGUGUGUGUGUUAGUGGAAGCGUCUGGAAAGGCGCGCGAUACAGGGUGACAGCCCCGUACACAAAAAUGCACAUGCUGUGAGCUCGAUGAGUAGGGCGGGACACGUGGUAUCCUGUCUGAAUAUGGGGGACCAUCCUCCAAGGCUAAAUACUCCUGACUGACCGAUAGUGAACCAGUACCGUGAGGGAAAGGCGAAAAGAACCCCGGCGAGGGGAGUGAAAAAGAACCUGAAACCGUGUACGUACAAGCAGUGGGAGCACGCUUAGGCGUGUGACUGCGUACCUUUUGUAUAAUGGGUCAGCGACUUAUAUUCUGUAGCAAGGUUAACCGAAUAGGGGAGCCGAAGGGAAACCGAGUCUUAACUGGGCGUUAAGUUGCAGGGUAUAGACCCGAAACCCGGUGAUCUAGCCAUGGGCAGGUUGAAGGUUGGGUAACACUAACUGGAGGACCGAACCGACUAAUGUUGAAAAAUUAGCGGAUGACUUGUGGCUGGGGGUGAAAGGCCAAUCAAACCGGGAGAUAGCUGGUUCUCCCCGAAAGCUAUUUAGGUAGCGCCUCGUGAAUUCAUCUCCGGGGGUAGAGCACUGUUUCGGCAAGGGGGUCAUCCCGACUUACCAACCCGAUGCAAACUGCGAAUACCGGAGAAUGUUAUCACGGGAGACACACGGCGGGUGCUAACGUCCGUCGUGAAGAGGGAAACAACCCAGACCGCCAGCUAAGGUCCCAAAGUCAUGGUUAAGUGGGAAACGAUGUGGGAAGGCCCAGACAGCCAGGAUGUUGGCUUAGAAGCAGCCAUCAUUUAAAGAAAGCGUAAUAGCUCACUGGUCGAGUCGGCCUGCGCGGAAGAUGUAACGGGGCUAAACCAUGCACCGAAGCUGCGGCAGCGACACUAUGUGUUGUUGGGUAGGGGAGCGUUCUGUAAGCCUGUGAAGGUGUACUGUGAGGUAUGCUGGAGGUAUCAGAAGUGCGAAUGCUGACAUAAGUAACGAUAAAGCGGGUGAAAAGCCCGCUCGCCGGAAGACCAAGGGUUCCUGUCCAACGUUAAUCGGGGCAGGGUGAGUCGACCCCUAAGGCGAGGCCGAAAGGCGUAGUCGAUGGGAAACAGGUUAAUAUUCCUGUACUUGGUGUUACUGCGAAGGGGGACGGAGAAGGCUAUGUUGGCCGGGCGACGGUUGUCCCGGUUUAAGCGUGUAGGCUGGUUUUCCAGGCAAAUCCGGAAAAUCAAGGCUGAGGCGUGAUGACGAGGCACUACGGUGCUGAAGCAACAAAUGCCCUGCUUCCAGGAAAAGCCUCUAAGCAUCAGGUAACAUCAAAUCGUACCCCAAACCGACACAGGUGGUCAGGUAGAGAAUACCAAGGCGCUUGAGAGAACUCGGGUGAAGGAACUAGGCAAAAUGGUGCCGUAACUUCGGGAGAAGGCACGCUGAUAUGUAGGUGAAGUCCCUCGCGGAUGGAGCUGAAAUCAGUCGAAGAUACCAGCUGGCUGCAACUGUUUAUUAAAAACACAGCACUGUGCAAACACGAAAGUGGACGUAUACGGUGUGACGCCUGCCCGGUGCCGGAAGGUUAAUUGAUGGGGUCAGCGCAAGCGAAGCUCUUGAUCGAAGCCCCGGUAAACGGCGGCCGUAACUAUAACGGUCCUAAGGUAGCGAAAUUCCUUGUCGGGUAAGUUCCGACCUGCACGAAUGGCGUAAUGAUGGCCAGGCUGUCUCCACCCGAGACUCAGUGAAAUUGAACUCGCUGUGAAGAUGCAGUGUACCCGCGGCAAGACGGAAAGACCCCGUGAACCUUUACUAUAGCUUGACACUGAACAUUGAGCCUUGAUGUGUAGGAUAGGUGGGAGGCUUUGAAGUGUGGACGCCAGUCUGCAUGGAGCCGACCUUGAAAUACCACCCUUUAAUGUUUGAUGUUCUAACGUGGACCCGUAAUCCGGGUUGCGGACAGUGUCUGGUGGGUAGUUUGACUGGGGCGGUCUCCUCCUAAAGAGUAACGGAGGAGCACGAAGGUUGGCUAAUCCUGGUCGGACAUCAGGAGGUUAGUGCAAUGGCAUAAGCCAGCUUGACUGCGAGCGUGACGGCGCGAGCAGGUGCGAAAGCAGGUCAUAGUGAUCCGGUGGUUCUGAAUGGAAGGGCCAUCGCUCAACGGAUAAAAGGUACUCCGGGGAUAACAGGCUGAUACCGCCCAAGAGUUCAUAUCGACGGCGGUGUUUGGCACCUCGAUGUCGGCUCAUCACAUCCUGGGGCUGAAGUAGGUCCCAAGGGUAUGGCUGUUCGCCAUUUAAAGUGGUACGCGAGCUGGGUUUAGAACGUCGUGAGACAGUUCGGUCCCUAUCUGCCGUGGGCGCUGGAGAACUGAGGGGGGCUGCUCCUAGUACGAGAGGACCGGAGUGGACGCAUCACUGGUGUUCGGGUUGUCAUGCCAAUGGCACUGCCCGGUAGCUAAAUGCGGAAGAGAUAAGUGCUGAAAGCAUCUAAGCACGAAACUUGCCCCGAGAUGAGUUCUCCCUGACUCCUUGAGAGUCCUGAAGGAACGUUGAAGACGACGACGUUGAUAGGCCGGGUGUGUAAGCGCAGCGAUGCGUUGAGCUAACCGGUACUAAUGAACCGUGAGGCUUAACCUU